GACGAACGCUGGCGGCGUGCUUAACACAUGCAAGUCGAACGGAAAGGCCCUGCUUUUGUGGGGUGCUCGAGUGGCGAACGGGUGAGUAACACGUGAGUAACCUGCCCUUGACUUUGGGAUAACUUCAGGAAACUGGGGCUAAUACCGGAUAGGAGCUCCUGCUGCAUGGUGGGGGUUGGAAAGUUUCGGCGGUUGGGGAUGGACUCGCGGCUUAUCAGCUUGUUGGUGGGGUAGUGGCUUACCAAGGCUUUGACGGGUAGCAGGCCUGAGAGGGUGACCGGCCACAUUGGGACUGAGAUACGGCCCAGACUCCUACGGGAGGCAGCAGUGGGGAAUAUCGCACAAUGGGCGGAAGCCUGAUGCAGCAACGCCGCGUGCGGGAUGACGGCCUUCGGGUUGUAAACCGCUUUCGCCUGUGACGAAGCGUGAGUGACGGUAAUGGGUAAAGAAGCACCGGCUAACUACGUGCCAGCAGCCGCCGCCG
Molecule: ribosomal RNA, 484 nt
Filed under: uncultured bacterium
Lineage: Bacteria
Description: partial 16S ribosomal RNA
Rfam family: Bacterial small subunit ribosomal RNA
Source: RNAcentral